Molecule: small nuclear RNA, 106 nt
Filed under: Erinaceus europaeus (western European hedgehog)
Lineage: Eukaryota; Metazoa; Chordata; Mammalia; Eulipotyphla; Erinaceidae
Source: RNAcentral
GUGCUCACUUUGGCAGCACAGAUACUAAAAUUGGAGGGAUACAGAGAAGAUUAGCAUGGCCCUGUGCAAGGAUGACACACAAAUUUGUGAAGCGUUCCAUAUUAAA